This 330-nucleotide long non-coding RNA is filed under the name Phoenix dactylifera (date palm). RNAcentral's name for it is "long non-coding RNA (PDAC_LNC019665)". The record is from RNAcentral. Lineage: Eukaryota; Viridiplantae; Streptophyta; Magnoliopsida; Arecales; Arecaceae.
GAGGGAGGAAAUCAUGGCAUCUAGUGGCGACCAUCAACAAUGGCAGGCAUCCAAUGUUUGUUUGUCUCUUCUGUUUUUUUGGGAUUGGGUCAGCCCAACCUAAUUUGAUUUGAUCUGUUUGUUAAGUAGGUUAAACAGGUUGGGUCGUGUAACUUGUUUAGUAAGUAGGCCAGUUUAAGUUUUUUUAUCCUUUUAUUAAACAUGUUGGGUUUGGAUUGACAGUUCUUUUAAAAUACUUGCACCAUGAGCUGUUCUGAUCCAAUCUGACCCAUUGCCAUGCUUAUCUUCUGUCCUUUUCAUGCUUCUCACAUUACUAGUUUAUCCAGCCUC